GUGGCGUUUUACAUAUAAACAAUACUGAAUAGAGUUGAAAGACUACGAAGGAGACUAUUAAUUAUUAAAACAAUUAAUAACAAAUGUGGCGUUUUACAUAUAAACAAUACUGAAUGAGUUGAAAGACUACGAAGGAGGCCUUACAAUUAAUAAAAAAUGAGGUAGACGAAGAAUCUACAAAUAUCAGGAAAGAAUGUCCGGACUCGUGAAAAGACAACAGAACUUACCACAAAUUAUUUUGAUAGCCAAAAAUGUUGUCACUCACCAAGCUUCUUGGAAAAAUUCUGGAUAUGAAAUUAAUUAAAAUUUAAUUUUUAAAAUAUUUUCUUCUGCAAACAUCUCGGAAAUAAUGUUAACAAUCACAAUAUGUAGGCCUAUUAAUUAUUGUAGGCUUUGUGUUUAUUAAUAUUGUGUUAUUACUACUAAUUUUUAUCUUAAUAACAGAGAAAAUAGCCUAUUUUUUGUAAAGAUUAUAGACAUGUAAGAUAAUAAUAUAUAUAAUUUUGAGGAUUAAAAUCAGGUAUAUUGAUUUUUUGCCGAAUGUACAUGUAAUAGAUGCAGUAUAUAUUAAAAUCAAUAAAUAAAUAUCAUAUGGAAUUAUGCA
Long non-coding RNA from Anneissia japonica, 604 nucleotides. RefSeq lists it as uncharacterized. The transcript has 3 exons. Lineage: Eukaryota; Metazoa; Echinodermata; Crinoidea; Comatulida; Comatulidae. The record is from RefSeq and is a predicted model, not a curated record.